UAAAGAAAUUCUAGAGGGUUCUCUUUCACGUGUCAUUCUAAACUGAGGAUGGGGGACAAUGGUACUGUAGCUCUAGAAUUCCGUACAUUCGCAUUUUUAUCUGCAUUUCUGUACUGACAAUUACUUGACAAAUGAGCUGGUAUUUUAUUUUGAUUUUCAAACUGCUCGGGUACUGUGGGAUUACCUUCGAUAAACAUUUGCUCCUGGCGUAUUUCAGGUGGCAUUCAGGUAACAGAUCAUCUGUUUGGCAUUUGUUUGUUGUUGGAUAUUUCGUAUUUGUUAUGGUAUUUGUUAUCAUGAUUUGGCGGAUAAUUUAUUGUAUUUAACAUUUGUUUGGCAGCUGUGUUCAAUCUCUAUAGAUUAUCACAGUUAUGGCAUUUAAGUCCCAGCGAGAGGGGAACUUGACGAAAGCCUCAUCGAUGUGCUUUGCAGUGUGACGUUCUCCGGACAGCUUCUUAGCGAAUUGCGAAAUAUUAGAAGCGCAUUUAAUUUUAAAUCAUACGUCCUAAAAGUAUUUUUAGAAAAUUCAAAAUGCAAUACAGUAGGAGGAGGGCAGCUUACCUUUUUCCCUAGACCAUAAAGCAUUCAGUCCGAAUAGUUCGUUUUGUGCAUUCUAUUCCUCGUCGUCCAAAUUGACAUGUAUCUUGGAGCCAUCGUAACUUUUAAGACUUUAAAUCCCAUUUCUUUCCAUUCGAGCUUUCUUGAGCACAUUUCCUGUUCGUUUGUGAGGUCUUCAAAAGUGUAUUUUGAUCAAAGAUGGAGCGAAAGGAAGGAAAACUCGCCUUGACAAUUUUUGCGUUGGGCUCAACAGAACAGACGCCAUUUUGUAAACAUGUACCACCCCCUUCCCCCACAUAUAUGAACAUAAACCAAUGACACGACUUUGUGGGCAAAACCAAACCUAGUAUGGGAGACAGGGGGAAACGUGUUUAAAUCAUGUUUAAUGCGGAUUUAAUGCAUAAAUUAAUUGUCUUACAGGAAUGGAGUGACCAAUCCAACCAUCACUAUACCUCAUGGUAUGAAGUACAUACCAUGAGAGAAAAAUUAGAAAAUUAAAAAAAAAAAUUAAGCAUUUCAAUAACCUUCCAAGCAGAUGGGCUUAGAGGGUAGAUCGUAGAUCGUUGAGCGUAGAUCAAAGAGAGUAGCUGGUAGAGUGUAGAUGGGCUUAGAGGGUAGAUGGUAGAUCAUAGAGCGUAGAGAGUAGCAUGGUAGAAUAUAGAGGCUAGAUGGUAGAUCAUAGGGCAUAGAUUGAAGAGAGUAGCUGGUAGAACAUAGAGAGUAGAAUGUAGAUGGUAGAACAUACAGCAUAGAGGGUAAACUAAAUACAGAAUUGUACAUUAAAAGGAUUAUUAGAAUACUGUAAACCGUAAUAACACUUAAAUUACACUUUAAUGUAUAUGAGAUAAUAGAGAAAGCCAGUAAAUGACAAUUACAAAAAUUACAGCAUGGCAGAUGAUCGAGAAACUUGCACUCACAACCCAAUAUUUUUUAUCACUCUAUUGGUUUUUUAAGCCUCUAAGCUAGUGUAGAGAGUAGUUAAAAAUUUUUGAACUGAUAAACUCCUAAAUACAUGGAGCGUAGAGUGUAGAUGGUGGAACAUGGAGUGUAAGAGCUUUAAGAGCAUAGCUCAUUGACUGUAGAUGGAAGAACACACAGCAUAGAGCGUAGAACGUAGUCAGGGUAAACUCAAUACUGAAUUGUAAAUUGAAAACAAUUAUUAAAACACUGCAAUCCAUAAUAACACUCAAUAUUCCCUAAGCGAUAUAAUAUUUCCUACAAUAACUAUACGCCACUACACCUCUUUGGUGUACGCAUAUCUGAGAGAAACGAGGCUUUAAACAUUCAAAAUACUACCACAGAGUUGUAGAGCUCUGCAAAAAUUUCAACGCCUAAUCAAGUUUUCUAAAACGGGCUGGGUAUACUGCAUUCAUAUGGAAGUACGGGGUCAUGGAUCACUGUGAGUGUAGAAUUGGAUCCAUCGAUAGCUUUGACGGCUUUUAAUAAUUAUCAUGUAAAGUUUUAGUGAAGAAUUAUUAUUGUUAAAAAAAUUAUUACAAUUAUUGUUGUUGUUGUUGUUGUUGUUGUUGUUGUUGUUAUUUUUAGUAAUACUAUGAUGUGAAGCAUUUCAAAAAGUUAUGUGAAUUGUUAAAAUAUGUUUUUACUGUAGAUUCUGGCUAUGCUUGGAGAGCAGUUUAUGGUUGGGAGUGAGGUUUGUGGUGCAGUGAUUUCUGUGCGAUUUCAGGAGGAUAUCAUCUCAAUAUGGAACAGAAAUGCUGCUGACCAAGCAACAACAACAAGAAUAAGGUGAGACUGAGUUGUCAUCACCUUACCCACCUUGAUAUGGUAAACCUCAAAAAUUGUUACUAAUGAAAUUGCUUUUAGCACCCAUUUCAGCAACUUCUCCUGCAUUGAUGGGCAUUCUUAGAAAAGGGUCUGAAUUCAAGCUGUUCACAUUUGCUCUAGAUUUGUUAAUGCUUUGUAGUAUUAAAACUAUUUAAAUGUUGCUUUUGACUCCAUGAUGCUGAGUGAAGCUGCAAAUUAUUAGACUAGACUUUGAAGCAUCAUAGUGGUCAAUGUAAAUUAAAAGAAUUCUUGUUCAAGCAUGAUUGACAUCCCGAAAUUGAGCAUAAUUCAUGCAGUGCUGUUCCCUUGUAUCAGGAAAAAAAUAUGACUCAAGGUUUUAAUUUUUUCCUGCUUUCUGUAUUGUGAACUGUAUGCACUUCUGAGGAUGUAGAUUAGUCAUGCGGGUGAUGAAAACGUGGAGCCACAGAAGUGCACAGUUUCUGUGCUGAUGAAGUCAUGAGUAUAACAUACCACUGUAGUGUGGUACAAUUUACAGCACAGAAAAUAGUUUUUAGUAAAAGUUCCUAAAACAUAGAGCAGUAGAAAAGCAUCGUUUUUAAUGCAGAAGAUCUUAUGACCAAAAUGUAGAGUAGAGCUGGCGAGUACAUGAUUUGUAAUGCAGACCCAGAGACAAUAGCUGGCUUAAAGUGCCUAUGAAGUAAAAAAUAAUUGAUGCUUAUUUGAAAGGCUUUUCAAAGUAAAG
This is a long non-coding RNA of Orbicella faveolata, 3046 nucleotides long. The record is from RefSeq and is a predicted model, not a curated record. NCBI's taxonomy places the organism in Eukaryota, Metazoa, Cnidaria, Anthozoa, Scleractinia, Merulinidae.